RNAcentral lists this ribosomal RNA (425 nucleotides) under uncultured bacterium. RNAcentral's name for it is "partial 16S ribosomal RNA". It matches the Rfam family "Bacterial small subunit ribosomal RNA", at positions 354 to 796 of the family's 1533-position model. The record is from RNAcentral.
GUAGGGAAUCUUGCGCAAUGGGCGAAAGCCUGACGCAGCCAUGCCGCGUGAAUGAUGAAGGUCUUAGGAUUGUAAAAUUCUUUCACCGGGGACGAUAAUGACGGUACCCGGAGAAGAAGCCCCGGCUAACUUCGUGCCAGCAGCCGCGGUAAUACGAAGGGGGCUAGCGUUGCUCGGAAUUACUGGGCGUAAAGGGCGCGUAGGCGGAUCGUUAAGUCAGGGGUGAAAUCCCAGAGCUCAACUCUGGAACUGCCCUUGAUACUGGCGAUCUUGAGUGUGAGAGAGGUAUGUGGAACUCCGAGUGUAGAGGUGAAAUUCGUAGAUAUUCGGAAGAACACCAGUGGCGAAGGCGACAUACUGGCUCAUUACUGACGCUGAGGCGCGAAAGCGUGGGGAGCAAACAGGAUUAGAUACCCCGGUAGUCC